UACAGAGGUGGCAAGCGUUGUUCGGAAUUACUGGGCGUAAAGGGCGCGUAGGCGGCCCUCUAGGUCAGACGUGAAAUCCCCCGCGUACUGGACGUGCGUCUGAUACUGGAGGGCGUCGAGUUUGGGUAGGAGGGAGUGUAGAAUUCCAGGUGUAGCGGUGAAAUAGCGUAGAUAUCUGGAGGAAUACCGGUGGCGAAGGCGGCAUCCUGGACCAACACUGACGCUGAGGCGCGAAAGC
This 238-nucleotide ribosomal RNA is filed under the name uncultured bacterium. RNAcentral describes it as "partial 16S ribosomal RNA". It matches the Rfam family "Bacterial small subunit ribosomal RNA", at positions 524 to 760 of the family's 1533-position model. The record is from RNAcentral.